Nomia melanderi (Alkali bee) is the source of this 4148-nucleotide RNA transcript. It is a transcript of the gene named EBF transcription factor knot, with no coding region annotated. NCBI's taxonomy places the organism in Eukaryota, Metazoa, Arthropoda, Insecta, Hymenoptera, Halictidae. The record is from RefSeq and is a predicted model, not a curated record.
ACCACCACCGGUGGCGGAAGCCCCGUCGAACUCGAGGGCCACUGGGGACGUAAGCUGUACGGGGCGAGCGUAGCUCCGCCACCGCCACCGCCUCAUCACCACCCGCGAGCGCCUCUCGUUUUCGCGCCUCAGGACAUGAGGCAGAUACUCAAGGAAGAGCCUGUACCACGUGCUUGGCCACAGCCUGCGCUCGCCGAUAACGGGACGGUUGGCGUGGGCAGAGCGCAUUUCGAGAAACAACCACCAAGCAAUUUAAGGAAAAGUAAUUUCUUCCAUUUUGUGAUCGCACUUUAUGAUCGGCAUGGCCAACCUAUCGAGAUAGAAAGGACAUCGUUUAUGGGUUUCGUCGAAAAAGAUCAGGAGUCCGAAGGCCAGAAAACGAAUAAUGGAAUCCAAUACAGCUUACAUCUGCUCUAUUCUAAUGGUGUCAGACAGGUGCAAGAUAUUUAUGUUAGGCUUAUUGACUCCGCGACGAAACAAGCUAUCAUGUAUGAGGGACAAGAUAAGAAUCCUGAAAUGUGCAGAGUCCUUCUGACGCACGAGGUGAUGUGCAGUCGGUGUUGCGAUAAAAAAAGUUGCGGGAACAGGAAUGAAACACCGAGCGACCCUGUGAUCAUCGACCGAUUCUUCCUUAAGUUCUUUCUCAAGUGCAACCAGAACUGCCUUAAGAAUGCUGGCAACCCACGCGAUAUGAGGCGCUUCCAGGUGGUCAUUUCCACGCAAGUAGGAGUAGAGGGACCACUACUGGCAGUCUCGGACAACAUGUUCGUUCACAACAACAGUAAACAUGGGCGUAGAGCGAAACGAUUGGAUCCUAGUGAUCCCGGCGAAUACAACAGUCUCUAUACACCUGUACCCCUUCAAACACCAUGCAUAAAGGCAAUAUCACCGAACGAGGGAUGGACAUCUGGAGGGUCUACAGUGAUAAUCAUAGGUGAAAAUUUCUUCGAUGGACUUCAAGUAGUGUUUGGAUCGAUGUUGGUUUGGAGCGAGCUAAUCACACCAAAUGCAAUCAGGGUGCAAACUCCGCCAAGACAGAUACCAGGAGUCGUUGAUGUCACACUAUCGUAUAAGACUAAACAAUUUUGCAAAGGAACGCCUGGGAGAUUUGUUUAUGUCUCAUUAAAUGAACCCACGAUUGACUACGGCUUCCAAAGGUUACAAAAGUUAAUACCGCGGCACCCUGGCGACCCUGAAAAAUUACCGAAAGAAAUUAUACUGAAGAGGGCGGCAGAUCUUGCAGAAGCUUUGUACAGUAUGCCCAGGAGUGGGAACGCGGGAAUUACAGGUGCUCCGAGGAGUCCUGGAUCAGGUCAUCCACCUGCACCGCCUACUUCCAGUUCAGCGACAGCGUUCAACUCGUAUACAGGACAACUGGCAGUGACGGUACAAGAAAACGGUAGUGCGGCGAAAUGGACAGACGACGGUAGUUCCGUGACGACAGGAGCCAAUGCUGGAGGCGGAGGUGGCGGUGGUGGUGGUGGCAGCGUCGGAGGCAGCGUCGGUGGAAACGUGGACGCCUAUAGGCAAAGCAGUAGCGCGAGUCCACGUGGGGUUGUGACUGGUGGUGGUUAUUGCGGAAGUUCGGCCAGCACACCCCACAGUCACAGCACCAAUGGAAGUUACUCGGUCGCCAAUCCGUACGCCGGUAGCCCAACCCUUUACACGUCGCCGCACGAACAGUAUGGCAUUUUCUAUACGUCCGGGGACGGGAGUGCGUUCGCCCCCGUAGUACGACCACCGACUACCUCAGUCCCACCGCACUGGUCCACACAGCACCACCUCGCCACAGCCGCCCAGUAACCGCUAACCGUCCACCAUCACAACCACCAUCAUCACCACCACAACCACUCCAUGCACUGCGAUUAAAGAAUUAUGAGAAACAUUCACAAGAGACGAGAUUCGAGAAUGACUAGGAGAGGUUGUCGGUUCACCAUUCAACAUGAAUCCAUUUAUGUUGCCCACCUGCAGCCAAGGAUAUUCAAACACCGCCAGUCCAUUGCUCUCGUCAAGUAACAAAUAGUGUUACGAGAUGUAAGCUCGAACGAAAAUAUCGAGAGGUUCUGUCUUCGCGGAAGCGAAAUUCACUCGCACCAAGUGCUCCAGUGAAUUUUAACGUUCUCAUAAUCAUCGUAUUUGUAGUUGACAAUCGCUUUCGUGAAUCGAAAUCGAUUCUCUCGAUCCACCUUUUUCCCAAUUAUCGUACGAAUGGGAAAAGAAGUGGUCGCGCAAAAACGUUUGUGCGUCAUUUUCGUCGAAGCCACGAAAUGAAUUGAGUUUGAGAGUAUAUCGAAACCAGUGCAAAAAUUGAUAACGUUUUAUGAUUAACGAUCGAAUAAGUUAAGGAAUGAUACAUAUCGAAAAAGACGUUGUUUUUUCAUCUCUUGACAUAGUCGUUCGGAUGAUACACCCUACACAUUUGUUACAAUUACAAAACAAAUGUAAUUUGUUAUGUUCGUAUGCAAAAAAUAAUCCGUUCAUCGUAAUUAAUUUUUAAAAUACGAAAAGUACAUAAGUGUUAUGAAAUGUUGAAUACAAACACGAGCUUUAUUUUAAUAGCGAUAAUACUCCAUUACAAUUUCUGCUACGAUUGUAGUAACCUUUCGUGGAAGGUAAUUAAAUCGUUAUUACCCUUUGAUCCUUUUAUAAUAGCUCCCCCUGCACUGCCAACUUACUAAACAUUCCUAAAUUUUCCGUUCAUCUUGCAUCUUAAGAAAAAAUGUUUAAUCAUGUGAAACAGCCGACCGACUAUAGUCUUUUCGUGUUACUGAUAUCGCUAUUUUUGACGUAGCUGUCCCAACAGGAAGAAGGCAUUUUUAUGGAUAGAUUUGAAUAUACCCUUUACCAUCUGCGCCUCCUCCCGCGCACAGAAUAGUCACGUGACUGAAACUUGCGACAGAAUAUUUUUGAAGCGUUUUCCAUCGAUUUUGUAGCAAGGUGCUUUAAUAAAUCCGCCUAAAAAAAAUCGAAAGUUCAGAAACGGGAGCAGUAUACGUGAGCAGAGUCGUUCACAGGGUGUCGGGGAAUUUUGUAUGAAACCAAGCGGAGGACUGUCGAGGGUCGAGGGAGACUAGACACCACUAGACGAACAUAUCGCUUAUCAUUGAAUAACAGACAUCAUAGUUUUAGAGAGCAUUUUCGACUUUGAAAUUUUAACUUCCUACCCCUACAUUUUAAGAGACUAACCAAUAUCAGCUAGGUAGCGUAUCGUCUAACGUGUAAUUUGUAAAUUUUCUUGUAAAUAUUGUUGCGAUGUACAAAACGACAGAAUUAUUUCUAGGAAUCCAACGAAAUGAUAUUAACGAGAUUGUAGGACGAAAAGUUAUUAUAUAUAGGUGUACAUAAUCGUAGAGCAUCUGUAGCUUAAUCCGUAUAAUUGUAUGAUUGUAUGACGGCGAUCCAAUCCUUUAACGUGCGGACUAUUACAUAAACGCGUAUGAUCGGUGAAACGGGUAUAGUGCACUUGAAUUCGCAGUCAACCAUAAAAUAUCCGAUCGAGCGUACACGUUUUCUUUAUUUCUACAAAACAAACGUCUCAACUUCGAAAACAGUUUUAUACGUUCCAAAAGGUUAUUAUAACUGCUUUCACCGAUUCUAUAUUUCUCGAUGUUUCUCAGAAUUGAUUUUGUAACGUCUAAUUUCUACUAUCACGUCUAUUAUAUGAUUUGAAUUAUUUUAAACGGAAAACACGUAUAAAUAAGUAAACGGAAAGUCGUGGAUAGUAUUAUAGUUGAUGGCCACGUUAAAAACUGGAUUGUACGUGACAACUGUAUAAAACGUAUAUAGUUAAUUUGAAUCGUUCGAUAAGCCGGCCCAAAACGAAUCUCACACCAAACGAAUCUCACGAAAGUAUACGAAGCAUAUAUCAGAAUUGAAAUCCAUAAUUAGUCCAGAUUUUGCAGUGGAUUACGAGCAUAGAUCGUAUCAUUUAUCAGAACGAGUGUCGUUAAAAUUUAUUAUUGUAAACAGUUCCUUUUUGCAUAUCGACUUGGUGAGCACUCUUUCAAUACGAAAGGUGCACCCUUUGUCCGAGAGCCACACGCUCUGUGAUCUUGUGAUGUUGAUUGUAAUAUUGAUUAUCACUUUCGUUCCAUCAUGUCAUAUUUUACAUGACGCGUCGUUAUUGUACGCAUGCGAGUGCGCGCAAG